UAAAUGGAACAUCCCCAAACCUUGCGGUAGCCACAAUAAAAACCCUGCUGAUUUGGAAUUCGGGGCUCUCAAUCCUGAUCCGUUGUGUCAGUGACGGUUGAGUGCCCCUGCUCGAGCUUGAAUAAACGACCCUCGUGUGUUUACAUCGGAAACGGCUCCUUGGUGGUCUUUGGGGACUUUGCGAUCUGGGCACAACAGAACGUACACUUGCAAUUCUUUGUUGAUGUACAGAAGGAUCUAGAAUCUGUCUCUCGAGUCCUUCACACAUGGUAUCACAUGCAUUGAGCCUAGCCAGGAACCAGCAGCCAGAGACACCAGGCCAGCUAGGAAGGGAGGCAGCUGGGAGCAUGCCCUGGACUGCGUGGAUUUGGGCGGCCACUUGGAUAGUGGGUGAAGUUGUUCAUGGGACGCAGUGGAAUCUAUGGUCGCACACCAAGUAGAUACCCUUCUCAGGGGUAAAGCAGAACUUUUAAAAAAAGGAAAAACAAGUCUCCUCAACCUUGAGCAAUUUCCCCUGACUUCCUCUAUGAUGGUUAUUAACUUUGUUCCUGUAAGUAAGGUUUUUAUGAUCCUUCACUUCUAUAAAAUUCUGUUAAGUUGCAAAACUGUCACUAUUUGAUUAGCUACCUUUGUCCUCCUUCUGGAAACCUGUUUGCCCACCCACCAGUUUUGUACCACUAGAUAGAACAACUCCUUGACUACAUGUAUAACACUAGAUCCCUUUUCUUUCUUU
This is a long non-coding RNA of Heterocephalus glaber (naked mole-rat), 733 nucleotides long. Lineage: Eukaryota; Metazoa; Chordata; Mammalia; Rodentia; Bathyergidae. The record is from Ensembl.